GCGCCCGUAGCUCAAUUGGAUAGAGCGACUGAUUACGGAUCAGUAGGCUGGGGAUUCGAGUUCUCCCGGGCGCACCA
This 77-nucleotide transfer RNA is filed under the name Bacillota bacterium. RNAcentral describes it as "tRNA-Arg". It matches the Rfam family "tRNA". From Rfam's summary of the family: Transfer RNA (tRNA) molecules are approximately 80 nucleotides in length. The record is from RNAcentral. RNAcentral also lists the same sequence under 2 other names. Lineage: Bacteria; Bacillati; Bacillota.